RNAcentral lists this ribosomal RNA (3002 nucleotides) under Trametes coccinea. RNAcentral describes it as "large subunit ribosomal RNA". It matches the Rfam family "Bacterial large subunit ribosomal RNA". The record is from RNAcentral. Lineage: Eukaryota; Fungi; Basidiomycota; Agaricomycetes; Polyporales; Polyporaceae.
CAAACAGUAAUUCAAAGGGGUUAUUAAGGAAAAACUAGCAAAUUUAUAAAAAAGGAGGGCACCAGUCCAAAAGCCACAAUUCACUUAGUGAACUAUAAUUAGAUAUUUAUUUAAUUGUAGAUAAAACUUGUAGGCGAUCCUAAGGGAAACCUUUUUAUAAAAACUUCCCGAAGUAAAACAUUUCAUUAGGGAAAGGAAAGGAAAUCAACCGAGACUCCGAAAGUAAUGGCGAGUGAAAUCGGAAAAGCCUAAAAAGGAAAAGUUUAAACACUAAUACACACCAGUAACCAAAGAAGGUAAAUAAGUCCUGUAUGUUUAACUUUUCUUCUCUUUUCAAAAAAAUAAAGAAAUAUCUUUAAAAAAGAAAAGUUGAAAUAAGUACGACGAGAGUUAACUUGUCGGAAUAUAGGGGAACCAUCCUCUAAGGCUAAGUAUUAUAAAUUUAGCGAUAGUGAAAAAGUACCGUAAGGGAAAGUUUGAAAUAGUUAUGUAUUAUUAGACAUAAAUGAAACAGUUGAAUUAGUAACUCUAUAAGCAGUCGAAAUUUAUAACUAUAAAUGACGGCGUACCUUUUGCAUAAUGGGUCAGCAAGUUAAUAGGAGUAGCAAGGUUAAAAGCCUUAGUGAAAGCGACCACACUAACUAGCUAUAUAAAUAGUAUUUUUAUUUAAAUAUUUAAGUAAAAAUAGGAUAUCCUUCAUAAAUUUAUGAAGUUUAAUAUUUUCUAGGAAUAGUAAUGGAUAAGUUACUUCUAUUAGACCCGAAGCUAGGUGAUCUUCCUAAGACCAGAUUAUAAUGGAUCGAACGGGUGAAUGUAGCAAAAUUCUCCGAAGAGUUUUAGGAAGCGGUGAAAUGCCAAUCUGACCUAGUGAUAGCUGGUUUUCUACGAAACAUAUGUAAGUAUGACAUCUAAUCAAGAUUUAUGGUGGUACAGCACUGAGUUCCCAACUUUCUAAAGUUUAGGUUGCGGGGACCUCGAAAAUCUUACCAAUGGAAGAGAAUCUCGGAAUGACAUAAAUUGAUGUUAGAUAUUCAGACUGCUCAUGCGAAGUUGGGUAGUCAAGACGGAAACAGCCGAGAACACGAAACAAGGUCCCAAAUGAUUUUUAAGUGAAAUUAAGGAAGUAAUAUAUUGAAUGCAGCUGUAAAGUGAGCCUGGUAGUCGCUAUCUUUUAAUAAACGUAAUGUAACAACGUAGCAGCCAACCAUUAGAAUAUUACGCCAAAAAUUUAACGGGUCUUAAAAAAUCAACCGAUAUCGUGUUUAUUUUGAAUACUAUUCUCGUAUUCAAUAUACAGGUAGUAGAACAUUCAGUAUACCUAUGAUAAAACAGUGUUUCAUUGUUUUUAGGUCACUGAAGAGAGAAUGCUGACAUGAGUAACGUAAAAAGAAGUUAUAAUACUUCUCGCCGAAUACGAAAGGGUUAUAAGGAAAGGUUAAACCACCUUAUGUUAAUGCGGCCUCUAAGGACCAAAACCAAAGUUUUGGCUGAUGAGUAUGAAAUAGAAAGUCCUAAUACCCUAGUAGGGAGGACCAGGAAAAUAAUAUUUCUUUUCACUACCGUACCCUAAACCGACACAGGUUCGUAAGUAGAGAAUACUAAGGCGCAGAGCUAAAAGUUGUUAAGGAACUCGGCAAGUUCUCCUCAUAAGUUUGACGACAAGAGGAACCCUCAACGGAGGGUGGCACAAAAUCGGAGGCCCCGACUGUUUACUAAAAACACAAUUCAGAGCAAUGAUGAAAAAUCAUAGUAUUCUGGAUGAAAUUUGCCCAAUGCCAUUAACAUAAGAGAGGUUAUAGGUAACUGUAACUGAUUGAAAGUCUGGUUAAUAGCGGUCUUAACUAUGAGGAUCCAAAGGUAGCAAAAUAAAUUGGCCAUUAAAUGUGGUCUUGUAUCAAUAGUGUAACGAUGGUCUCACUGUCUCUACAACUUGCUCAGUGAAAUUGAAUUACCCGUGCAGAUGCGGGUUGCCUCCAGGUGGACGGGAAGACCCUAUGCAGCUUUACUGUAGUUAGCUAUCAUAUUGAUCUACAACAACCUUAGUUAAUAGGAAUUAGGGAUGUCGAUAGACGAAAGAUGGAAUACCUUCUGACUUUGGUUGGGUUAAUAUUUACCUUGUAAUUUAAACCGCCAGGCGGGAAAAUAAAAAAUUUAAGGGACAGGUGGCUAAUUGGCAGUUUGACUGGGGCGGUCGUCUUUGAUAAAGUAGCAAAGUACAUCCAAAGAUAUUUUUUUUAAUUUAUCAUUAUGCCUUUGGGCUUUUUUGAUAAUAAAAAAAACAUAGUAAAGGUUUAAACUAUGUAGAAUAUAAAUAAUUUGCUUUACGCUUAUUAUUUGUAUUAUUUUUAACAUAAGGUAGAGCUAGAAAAUUGAAUGGAGAUCAAUCAACCAGUGAGAAAGGUUGUAAUCGGCGUAAUGGCGGAAAGCAUGCCUAACUGAAAGACUUAGAAGUCGCACAGAUACGUAAGUAGGGCAUAGUGACCCUUCGCUAUAAUAUGGAAUAGACGGGGAUCAAUCGAUAAAAGUUACGCUAGGGAUAACAGGCUGAUAGCCGGUGAGAGUACACAUUGUCCCGGCUGUUUGGCACCUCGAUGUCGACUCAACCUAUCCUCCGGGGGUAGAAGCUUGGAAGGGUUCGGCUGUUCGCCGAUUAAAAGGUUACGCGAGUUGGGUUUAAUACGACGUGAGUCAGUAUGGUCCCUAUCUUCUGGAGGGAAAAAUAGUAAAAAGGGGCAGACCUUCUAGUACGAAAGGAUCAAUAGGCUGUGUUUCUCUAGUGUACCAAUUGUUUAUAUCUUUUUAAAUUAAAAAAGAUUAAAGCAUAGUUGGGUAGCCACAAACAUGAUAGAUAAGCGCUGAAUGAAUAUUAAGCAGGAAGCUAUCCCCUAGAUACUAUCAUAUUAACUAGUCAACUUCAUCCUCGUGGAUGAAAGAUAAGAAAUAGUUAAUUUUUAAUAAGAAAUAGAACAUUUCUAAAUAGGAUGCAAAUGAAAGUGUUGUGA